AUGCUGCCUUGGAUCUUCAGCCGCAAGGGCGCCUCGGGCUUCUCCUGGGCGUCCACCGCCGACCACGUCACCGCCGGCAUCUCCGCCGCAGGGCUCACCGCCAUAGUCACCGGGGCGUCGAGCGGGAUCGGCGCGGAGACGGCGCGGGUGCUGGCAGCGCGCGGGGCCCACGUCGUCAUGGCCGCCAGGAACCUCGCCGCCGCGGAGACCGUGCGCCAGGCCGUCCUCGCCGACACACCCGGCGCCAGCCUCGAGCUGAUGGAGCUGGACCUCUCCUCCCUGGCCUCCGUCCGCAAGUUCGCCGCCGACUUCGCCGCCAGGGGCCUCCCGCUCAACAUCCUCGUCAACAACGCAGGGGUAAUGGCGACCCCUUUCUCCCUCUCAAAGGAUGGCAUAGAGAUGCAGUUCGCAACUAACCAUGUCGGGCAUUUUCUUUUGACACAUCUACUAUUGGAGACAAUGAAAAAGACCUCUCAUGAAUCAAACGUGGAAGGAAGAAUUGUUAACGUUUCGUCAGAAGGGCACAGGUUUGCAUACAAGGAAGGCAUCCGUUUCGCCAAGCUAAAUGACGAGGAAGAGUAUAGCACCAUUGCAGCAUAUGGGCAGUCAAAGCUUGCCAACAUUUUGCACGCUAAUGAACUUGCCAGGAGAUUUAAGGAAGAGGGUGUUAACAUCACUGCGAACUCUCUGCAUCCUGGAUCUAUUAUCACGAACCUUCUUCGCCACCACAGCAUCAUAGAUGUUCUCCACCGGACGCUUGGUAAACUGGUGCUGAAGAACGCCAGACAGGGGGCUGCGACGCAGUGCUACGUGGCGCUGCACCCGGACGCCAAGGGGGUGUCGGGAAAAUACUGGAGCGACAGCAACCUGUAUGAGCCGAGCGACAAGGCCAAGGACGCGGAGCUGGGCAAGAAGCUGUGGGACUACACCCUCGACCUCGUCGCCUGA
RNAcentral lists this ribosomal RNA (948 nucleotides) under Triticum aestivum (bread wheat). RNAcentral describes it as "partial small subunit ribosomal RNA". The record is from RNAcentral. Lineage: Eukaryota; Viridiplantae; Streptophyta; Magnoliopsida; Poales; Poaceae.